AUGACCAAACCAUUUCAUCAAACCACAUUUAGUACAAUGCCUGGGGCGUUCGUGACAUUGAUGUACCAUAUAACUGGAAUUAACCCAUGCAAGUCGAAGAAGGAUUGGCCGGUGCUGCCGGCUGGCGUCAAGUUCGAUCCCACGGAUCAGGAGCUGAUCGAGCACCUUGAGGCCAAAGUGAGUGCAUACAGCGCGAGAUCUCACCCUCUCAUUGAUUUGUUCAUACCAACCAUCGACAGCGAGCACGGCAUAUGCUACACCCAUCCUAAGAAACUUCCAGGUAUCACACUGAGUGGCCUAAGCAAGCAUUUCUUCCAGCACAAUUCCAGGGUGUUCAAAAGGGGCACGUGUACGCGUCGCAAGACACAGUCGGAGUGCGGCAUGCAUGCGAUGUGGUACAACACCAGAAAUACCUUGCCGGUGAUGGUUAACGGCCGGCAGACGGGCAGCAAAAAGGUUCUUGUGCUACACACCAACAAGAACUUCGACCAGCAGAGGACCAACUGGGUGAUGCACUAG
RNAcentral lists this ribosomal RNA (519 nucleotides) under Triticum aestivum (bread wheat). RNAcentral describes it as "partial small subunit ribosomal RNA". Lineage: Eukaryota; Viridiplantae; Streptophyta; Magnoliopsida; Poales; Poaceae. The record is from RNAcentral.